RNAcentral lists this ribosomal RNA (381 nucleotides) under uncultured Alphaproteobacteria bacterium. RNAcentral's name for it is "bacterial SSU rRNA". It matches the Rfam family "Bacterial small subunit ribosomal RNA", at positions 9 to 416 of the family's 1533-position model. The record is from RNAcentral. Lineage: Bacteria; Pseudomonadati; Pseudomonadota; Alphaproteobacteria.
GAGUUUGAUCUUGGCUCAGAACGAACGCUGGCGGCAGGCUUAACACAUGCAAGUCGAACGGACGUAGCAAUACGUUAGUGGCGCACGGGUGAGUAACGCGUGGAUAUCUGCCUUUUGGUUCGGGAUAACCUUGGGAAACUAGGGCUAAUACCGAAUGGUUCCUACGGGAUAAAGAUUUAUCGCCAAAAGAUGAGUCCGCGUCCGAUUAGCUAGUUGGUGGGGUAACGGCCCACCAAGGCGACGAUCGGUAGCUGGUCUGAGAGGACGAUCAGCCACACUGGGACUGAGACACGGCCCAGACUCCUACGGGAGGCAGCAGUGGGGAAUAUUGGACAAUGGGGGCAACCCUGAUCCAGCCAUGCCGCGUGAGUGAUGAAGGCC